RNAcentral lists this ribosomal RNA (390 nucleotides) under Longileptoneta sp. 2 HZ-2020. Its description in RNAcentral is "partial large subunit ribosomal RNA". It matches the Rfam family "Bacterial large subunit ribosomal RNA", at positions 1928 to 2607 of the family's 2925-position model. Lineage: Eukaryota; Metazoa; Arthropoda; Arachnida; Araneae; Leptonetidae. The record is from RNAcentral.
UAGCCGCAGAAAUCUGUGCUAAGGUAGCAUAAUCAUUUGUCUUCUAAUUAAAGACUAGAAUGAACGGUUAAACGAAUAGAAAAUUCUUAAUUCAACAUUAACUUAAAUUAUAUUUGUCGUAAAAAUACAACAAUAAAGUAAAAAGACGACAAGACCCUGUCGAACUUAACAUAUGUUAUACUGGGGCAGUACUUCAAUAAAAAUUUCAUUCUCAAACCUCAAAAAAUACCUUUUACAAAAUCUGAAGUUACCGUAGGGAUAACAGCGCAAUUUACUUUUAAAGUUCUUAUUCCAAAGUAAGAUUACGACCUCGAUGUUGAAUUAAUAUACCAAGCAAAUGCAAAAUUUUGAUAGAAAGUCUGUUCGACCUUUAAAUAAUUACAUGAUCUG